This 580-nucleotide ribosomal RNA is filed under the name uncultured Pseudozyma. RNAcentral describes it as "LSU rRNA". It matches the Rfam family "Eukaryotic large subunit ribosomal RNA", at positions 102 to 664 of the family's 3401-position model. The record is from RNAcentral. Lineage: Eukaryota; Fungi; Basidiomycota; Ustilaginomycetes; Ustilaginales; Ustilaginaceae.
GAAGAGCCCAAGAUUGAAAGCUGGCGUCUUCGGCGUCCGCAUUGUAAUCUCAAGAAGUGUUUUCCGCUUCGGACCAUGCCUAAGUCCCUUGGAAAAGGGCAUCAUAGAGGGUGAUAAUCCCGUACAUGGCAUGGAGCGCCCGAAGCUUUGUGAUACGCUUUCUACGAGUCGAGUUGUUUGGGAAUGCAGCUCAAAAUGGGUGGUAAAUGCCAUCUAAGGCUAAAUAUUGGGGAGAGACCGAUAGCGAACAAGUACAGUGAUGGAAAGAUGAAAAGAACUUUGAAAAGAGAGUUAAACAGUACGUGAAAUUGCCAAAAGGGAAGGGUAGGAGGUCAGAGAUGCGUCUUGGGAUUCAGCCUUGCUUUUGCAUGGUGUUUUUCCCAAGUUGCAGGCCAACGUCGGUUUUGGGCACUGGAGAAGGGUAGGAGGAACGUGGCACCUCUCGGGGUGUGUUAUAGCCUCCUACUGGAUACAGCGACCGAGACCGAGGAACGCAGCGUACUCGUAAGAGCGGGCCUUUUGGCACCUUUACGCUUAGGGCGUUGGCAUAAUGGCCCUCUACCACCCGUCUUGAACACGG